GUGAGAAAAAAACUCAAAAGGGGACAAUUACAGAGGAGGGAUAACUAAUCAAGCUCAUCAGUGUUAUGUGGUUCAUCUGUGAUAGAGUGAAGAUGAGAACCCAGACUACAGAGAUUUGGUAUCCCACCAGCAGGAUUUGUACCAGAAUCUGGAGUUGUGGAGUACCUGAAUUUCAUUUCUUCAGGCUUCAUGAACAAAUGACAGAGGGGAGGUGGGGAAAAAAGAAAAAUUCUGCCAAAACUGGGAAUUGAAGUGAGCCUUGUGAAAAACAUGAAGUGCCUUGAUCUCCAGCCCACCCUCAUCCUUAUGUUUGCCAUUUAUAGCCAAGACUACUAUUUUACCAUCUUCAUCAACUUUUCUCAAUGACAGACCUCCCACCUAUAAUAAUGACCUUAAUAUCAAGAGCAGAAGCGAGUGAAAUAUUUCUUACUGUGUUAUGCUAAGGAAGUAACAAAAUAGACAAGGCUCAUGAGUUGAUUCAACUUGUAGCUGCUGUUACUACUUUCUCUUUUACAGUGUUCUUUUUUUAUUGUGAUUAAUAUGGAGUUUAUACAAUUUAGCAGUAUGUGAUAGAAUUUUUAUUCCCACCUGGCUCUGUUUUUGCAGGUUUGUGUUAAGGGAUGAAAAUGUAAUGUAUUUUAUCACAAUGUCCUCUUGAUGUAUUUCCAGUUGUAACAGAGGGCAACUCACAAAUAACUUGAGUGUAUACAAUCUUUUUUUCCGUUAAGUUGAAUGUUUAGAGAAAUUGUGAUUUCCUUAAUAUUUGCUGUAAGAAAUCUCCUAUUCCCAUCUGAAUAAGCAGUGUUGGAGGUUUUUGGUUCAUGAGUUGUGUUCAGUCCACAUGUACACAAUAAUUCUCCAUGGGGGCUGUGCUAAUCAGUGGUCAUUACUCAGGUGAAUAAAG
Anas platyrhynchos (mallard) is the source of this 904-nucleotide long non-coding RNA. RefSeq lists it as uncharacterized. NCBI's taxonomy places the organism in Eukaryota, Metazoa, Chordata, Aves, Anseriformes, Anatidae. The record is from RefSeq and is a predicted model, not a curated record.